UAAUUGAAGAGUUUGAUCAUGGCUCAGAUUGAACGCUGGCGGCAGGCUUAACACAUGCAAGUCGAGCGGUAGCACAGGGGAGCUUGCUCCCCGGGUGACGAGCGGCGGACGGGUGAGUAAUGUCUGGGAAACUGCCUGUUGGAGAGCGUGGAAACGCCAUUCCUGCUGGUGCUGGACGGCGUGACCGACCCGCAUAACCUCGGCGCCUGCCUGCGCAGCGCCGACGCGGCCGGCGUGCACGCGGUGAUCGUGCCCGCGAUCGUUCCGC
This 268-nucleotide ribosomal RNA is filed under the name Serratia ureilytica. RNAcentral describes it as "partial 16S ribosomal RNA". It matches the Rfam family "Bacterial small subunit ribosomal RNA", at positions 1 to 234 of the family's 1533-position model. Lineage: Bacteria; Pseudomonadati; Pseudomonadota; Gammaproteobacteria; Enterobacterales; Yersiniaceae. The record is from RNAcentral.